This 357-nucleotide long non-coding RNA is filed under the name Anser brachyrhynchus (Pink-footed goose). RNAcentral describes it as "lncRNA (ENSABRG00000000061.1)". Lineage: Eukaryota; Metazoa; Chordata; Aves; Anseriformes; Anatidae. The record is from RNAcentral.
AGGUACAGACAACAGAGGAAUGGAUGUGAUUCAUGGAUCACUGAAGCAUAAUUGCCAUAGCCUGUCACCUGGCAGAGGAACCACAAAGUUAUAAAAAGGAUAAUGAACCACCCUCAGCAGGGUAGAAGGGUACAAACAGACCUGGAGGGAAGAAUGAGCUUCCAGCAAAUCUCAGCUUGAAUGCACUCAGCUGCCAAGAUCCUCAUCUUCUUGUUCUCUACCCUGCCCCACACUCUGCUAGCACAGGAAAAUGGCCGACUAGGUGAAGGCAAAAAAAUUCAGGCCAUGCCCCAAGAAACAGAAGCCCAAAUCACCUCUGAACUGGAAGCCAUGGACUGCUGGUUAGACUGGUGCUGA